GCUUUUGGAUUUAGCUGUAACUCGGCAAUCCACUCGGACUCCCCUCUCUGCUGUGGAGCAUUUCUUCUCUCUCUUAUUAAACUUUUGCUCCACCCCCACCCUUGUGUCCAUGCUCAAUUUUCUUGGACGCAGGACAAAGAAGCCAGGUACUAGUUCAGAGAACAAGAAACUGCUACAUUAUGGUGCAUUGGCAAAACUACAACAUAUUUAGGUGCAGGAAGAAGGGAUCAUCAGAAGGAGUCAAGGAAACUUUCUUUCAAAUUAGCUAGAGCUUUUAACAACUAAGUAAGGUAUACUCCUGUGAACAAAAUUUGGAACAUGUUUGUUUCUCUCUGCCUGGUUUCUCUAGAAUUCAGAAACUGGUUAGUCAAGUUCGACUUGCAGAGCCAGUAAAAGCCUCCUGGAAAACCGGCCUCAUACCUUGUCUACACAGCCCCUGUACAGGGUUCCUAACCUGUGAGGCCAUCAAGCUCCAAAUGGUAAAGUAAAUGGAACCACACAUUAAACGCACCUUUUUUCUGAGGACCCUUAAACCAGCCUCGGGAGGAAUCCUAGCUGCUGUUCCUCACACAAUGCUCCUCUCCAGCAAGAAAUAGCCAGAAAGAUCAAUGCCCAAUCUCCCUAACAGCAGUUAGAGUUCCCACUUCUGAAGUGGGGAAUGAGGGUGAGGGAAAAGAAAAAAUCAGUUGGGGCAAACUUACAGUGUAGAAGCGGUCUGCCUGAAAAGUCACAGCAAUGGGCAAAAACAAAACAAUCUGGGACAAAAACUCAGGCUGCACCUGCACACAGAGAAGCAGACAGCGUCCAGAAAAGAAGCCGUUUGUUCUUCGUAUAAUUAGCAAGCUCCCAGGAAAAAGUUUCCUCCCCUUUUGAGGCAUAUACAUGGUGGGCUCCACAGAAACUUGCACAGGGAAGACGGGGGCUUACCUAAAACAAACCCACAGUUAUACAGAAAAGAGAAGUGGCGCUUUGUGCUUGCCUAGAGACAUACCCACAGCUGCAUAAGAUAAGGGGAGUUGCACAGACAGCUUUACUGAUAGGAGAAGUUACUCAAACUGCUACAGAGAUGAGAAGAGUUUCUUAUAAAAGCUUCUGGAGUCAGCUGUAACUCGGCAAUCCACUCGGACUCCCCUCUCCGCUGCGAAGUGCUUUCUUUCGCUUAUUAAACUUUCACUCCACCCCCA
RNAcentral lists this long non-coding RNA (1184 nucleotides) under Homo sapiens (human). RNAcentral describes it as "GALNT7 antisense RNA 1 (GALNT7-AS1)". The record is from RNAcentral. Lineage: Eukaryota; Metazoa; Chordata; Mammalia; Primates; Hominidae.